Molecule: ribosomal RNA, 448 nt
Filed under: uncultured bacterium
Lineage: Bacteria
Description: bacterial SSU rRNA
Rfam family: Bacterial small subunit ribosomal RNA
Source: RNAcentral
UUCCAGACUCCUACGGGAGGCAGCAGUGGGGGAUAUUGCACAAUGGGGGGAACCCUGAUGCAGCGACGCCGCGUGGGUGAAGAAGUCUUUCGGUAUGUAAAGCCCUAUCGGCAGGGAAGAAAUUGGACGGUACCUGACUAAGAAGCCCCGGCUAACUACGUGCCAGCAGCCGCGGUAAUACGUAGGGGGCAAGCGUUAUCCGGAUUUACUGGGUGUAAAGGGGGCGCAGACGGCGAUGCAAGCCAGGAGUGAAAGCCCGGGGCCCAACCCCGGGACUGCUCUUGGAACUGCGUGGCUGGAGUGCAGGAGGGGCAGGCGGAAUUCCUGGUGUAGCGGUGAAAUGCGUAGAUAUCAGGAGGAACACCGGUGGCGAAGGCGGCCUGCUGGACUGCAACUGACGUUGAGGCCCGAAAGUGUGGGGAGCAAACAGGAUUAGAUACCCGGGUAA